This 877-nucleotide long non-coding RNA is filed under the name Cotesia glomerata. RNAcentral's name for it is "uncharacterized LOC123273070". The record is from RNAcentral. Lineage: Eukaryota; Metazoa; Arthropoda; Insecta; Hymenoptera; Braconidae.
UAAUAAUUAAAUGGGAAGGAAUGUCCCACUAUUAAGGUGCCGACAUAUACUAUUUUCUCUCUCGUCCCAGAUACCUGGUUCACGUUGCGCAUGCUUGAGAAUUCCCCAUGAUAUUAAUAGAGGGGAAGAAUGAGGGGAAUAAUUUUGUGGUUAUGAUUCUGUUUACAAAUAUAUUUAUUAUUGUAAUUCAGAAAAACAAUUAUAAAUUUUAAAAAACUUUUGUUUUUAUUUAAAUAAUAUUCUUUUUCCAACAAUCAGUUAUUGAAAAAUGGUGAAGUUGUGUUAUUUAUGUGAUAGAAAAGCGUCGAGAGCUGACAAUAUUUCUUUGCAUCAAUUUCCGAAAAAUUUGGAGAUACGUUUGAAGUAGCUAAAUGCUUGUGGAUUAACUGAAAAUGAUGAUGUAAAAAGAACUUGCAUAUGUUCCAGACAUUUCAAAGCUGAUGGUAUUUGUCAAUCAAAAAUUUUUGGAGUUGUUAAAUCUUCUAUAAAACGUAAUGCAGUUCCUACACUUUAUUUAACAAAUCCACACAGUAUUGAUAAAACUAGUAAAUUACCACCAAACACGCCGCUAUCGGAAGUAUUUGAUGAGAAUGGAGUCAGCAAUCAAUCGUCAUCAUGUUUUUCUGAGAAUAAUAUUGUCAACCAAUAUAAUGUACUCAAUACUUUGCAAAAAAGUCCAAAAAAAUGUUUUGAAGUAGACAAUACUGAAUGUCAAACCUCAAAUAAUAGUAGCAUUAAUUUUGGAGCCUCUUGUAACCAAUCUGAUUUAAAUGAAUUUAUAGAAAAUGCAAAAUCAAAUCCUAUCAGCGAAGACGAAAAUACUGUUCCACAUGAAAUUGAUUCCCAAAUCAAUUUCGAAAAGCGUAAAUUUUACGAG